RNAcentral lists this ribosomal RNA (387 nucleotides) under uncultured bacterium. RNAcentral's name for it is "bacterial SSU rRNA". It matches the Rfam family "Bacterial small subunit ribosomal RNA", at positions 30 to 417 of the family's 1533-position model. The record is from RNAcentral.
AGCGAACGCUGGCGGCGUGGAUUAGGCAUGCAAGUCGAACGGGACUAUGGCCGCAAGGUCGUAGUUCAGUGGCGAAAGGGCGAGUAAUACAUCGAUCAUCUGCCCCAGGGACCGGAACAACACCUGGAAACGGGUGCUAAUGCCGGAUGGUCCAGAGAUGGUAAAGGGUGGGGACCGCAAGGCCUGCCGCCCAGGGAGAGUCGAUGGCCUAUCAGCUUGUUGGUGAGGAACGGCUCACCAAGGCGAAGACGGGUAGCCGGACUGAGAGGUUGGUCGGCCACACUGGGACUGAGACACGGCCCAGACUCCUACGGGAGGCAGCAGUGGGGAAUAUUGGACAAUGGGCGAAAGCCUGAUCCAGCAAUGCCGCGUGUGUGAAGAAGGCCU